UGCCCAUACUGGGCUUGAACUUGCGAUCCUCCUGCCUCAGCCUCCCUAAGUGCUAGUAUGGAUGUCCACCACCAUAUUAGGGGCCGAGAAAAGUCUCAGAGACCUGGAAGCAGGAGUGUGAUGUGACAAUGUCUCAGGCUGGACCUGCCUUCCAGUGCAGCCUUCCAUAUAUGUUCUCAUUGAGCAGCCUGGACUUGUAGUGAUCCUCCUG
Long non-coding RNA from Octodon degus (degu), 211 nucleotides. RefSeq lists it as uncharacterized. The record is from RefSeq and is a predicted model, not a curated record. Lineage: Eukaryota; Metazoa; Chordata; Mammalia; Rodentia; Octodontidae. The transcript is spliced from 3 exons.